AGCGAACGCUGGCGGCAGGCCUAACACAUGCAAGUCGAACGGAUCCUUCGGGAUUAGUGGCGGACGGGUGAGUAACACGUGGGAACGUGCCCUUUGGUUCGGAACAACUCAGGGAAACUUGAGCUAAUACCGGAUGUGCCCUUCGGGGGAAAGAUUUAUCGCCAUUGGAGCGGCCCGCGUCUGAUUAGCUAGUUGGUGAGGUAACGGCCCACCAAGGCGACGAUUAGUAGCUGGUCUGAGAGGAUGAUCAGCCACACUGGGACUGAGACACGGCCCAGACUCCUACGGGAAGCAGCAGUGGGGAAUCUUGCGCAAUGGGCGAAAGCCUGACGCAGCCAUGCCGCGUGAAUGAUGAAGGUCUUAGGAUUGUAAAAUUCUUUCAGCGGGGACGAUAAUGACGGUACCCGCAGAAGAAGCUCCGGCUAACUUCGUG
Molecule: ribosomal RNA, 433 nt
Filed under: uncultured bacterium
Lineage: Bacteria
Description: partial 16S ribosomal RNA
Rfam family: Bacterial small subunit ribosomal RNA
Source: RNAcentral